AGUGGCUGGAGUGGAAGUGAGGAAGAGGGAGAGCUCCUGGGCACCAGAAUGAAUGGGGAGGGUCCUUUAGGGCACUGUGAGGCCAUUAGCUUUUACUCCUACUGAGACUGGACAUCCCAGGAGAGUUUCAGAGCAGAGAAGUGCUAUGACUGCUCUUGAAGUUUAAGAGGACCAGGUGGCUGGCUUUGCUGUGUGUCAGAGAACAGGAGCAGAAACAGGGAGACCAGCUGGGAGGUGACUGCAAAAGUCCAGGUGAGAGGCGAUGGAGCUAGUGAGGAGUGCCGGAGGCCUGGUGUAUUCUGACGGUGCCAGGACCUGUGAUAGGUGCUGAGAGAGUUUGUAGAUAAUAAAACAAAGGUUCAAAGAAGUCAAGUUGUUUGCUCAAGAUCACACAGCUGAUUCUAGACAAAAUGUAUUCAGCAGAGAAGGGAGGAGGAGAACAGUCAAAGGUAAAGAAACCAAGGCUUAGAGACCUGCUCACAGUCGUUUCGUGAGGGAAUGCAACAUCUGGGUCUAGGGUCCAAAUCUAUCUCUGCUGUGAAGAGGAACUCAUACAGGAGAUCUACAUGAUUACCAAUUCUUGGCCUUGCAGUGGAGGGAUUUGUCCUUACAGUGCUGUGGAAACUGGUGAAGAGGUCUGAGUUUGGAUAUAAAGCUGUAGUUUCUGGCCUGGUGCUGGCACCUGAAGUCCACAGACAGCUGGGCAAAGAAGAUGGAUGGGAAGCAGAGGAAGAAAAGGCAAGCUGAAUGAAGGAGAAACUGGUGCCUUCCAUCAUGGAGCUAAAUAUGCAUCUGGUCCAGGAUUCAGGGAAAUUGAUGCAGCAGGAGGAUCUGGCAGGAGCCCAGCUGCUGCCCCUCACCAACAAGGUGAGCUUGUGGAUAAGUGACAACAUGCAUGAGUUCCAACAGUGCUUGGAGCCCUGCAUCCAUCUUCCAAGCAUAAAAAAACAAGAUGGCUACUGCUUCACUUCCACUUUCUACAUCUUAUGCAAAAUGUCUCUUGAGGUCCACACUGUCCAAGAAAUCUGCAGAAAAGACAUAUGGAAGACUUAGUUCUAAGCCAAGUUGAUACAAUAGACAUCUAUCACACACUAUUUAUCAUAAGAUUUGGUGAGGGACGGGGGGUUCACAGAUGCCCUAAACCCCACUGAUAGAUAGCCUAGGGGUUUAUGAGCCUUGGAUUAUUAAAAAUCUCUCUUCUAGUGUUCAUGAUAAUAGGAAUGGCAUCAGUGACUUAAUUAAGAAAACAUCACCUUCUGAAUUUAGGCUGAUCCGUGUCAAUGAGUUUUAAUAGCUGGAAAAAUUUGUAUUUUAGUUACCUUUCUAAUUUUCUCUUCACUUGAGAGCCUGUCAAUCUUCUCAGUACUCAGGAGUCAGUCUGUCAGUACUAAGGAGUCACAUUCUUUACAAUGCCUUUUUAAAAUGUUAAGUUUUAUUUCCUAAUUUUUCAAGCAAAUGCACAUAUUAUUAAAAAUGUAUAUGCCACUGACUUUAGUCAUAAUUAAAUAAAAUAAAUGAGUGGUUUUUCUUUGAAAUCAAAUGUAUCAGGUAAUUUUAAGCCAUGGAAUUGUGUUUAAGUUAUUGCCAUUUAUUUUGAAUUUUUAAACUUAUUGAGCACUGGGUCCUCCUUUAUUCUUACUCUAGUUUUUCACUUUUGCCCUUAUGAAUCUUUUGAGUUAAUAGAAAACCUUUCAGUUAGAUUGUCUCUUGAUCUUUUGACCAAUCUUCAACUUCAUAGAAAGUAGGUAGCCCCUGCCCAUCUGCUUACUGACACAAGGAAAAGCCUUUCUAUUGCUAGGUGCUAUCUAGUGCUGGAUAAUAACAGCUGAGAUAUUGGGAGUUUUAUGCAGUGCUACUUUAUUGCUAUGGGAACUUAGACAACUCUCUUUUCUGAAAACUGUUUUCACAAAAAAAUUGCUUCAUAGGAUUUCACUAAACAUCUUCCCAUUGUCAGGUGGUUCUCAAAGUCUUACAUCUUGUAAUGAAUGUGAUUAUCAAGUUUACAUAAACAUCGAUAAAAAGAAAAGUCUUUUUCUUUUUACCCAUUGUCCAAUAUGUACCUGAGAUACUUUCUGGUAUUAUAUCAUGGAGGCGAAAAAUAGCAGUUGAUGGAAAUAUGGUAUUAGUACAAAAAGUGAUUUUGGAUUUUUAAAACUGUAUUCAUUCAAAAAUUAUGUCCAUUAAAAAAUAAUUCCUAUAGAUAUUUAGUUAGAAAGUAAACAAGACUUCUUAGGUUCUGGCCUUAUGAUCUAAACAGAAAGUUUCAUUCAUGUAUCUUAUCUGUAAAAUUACAUUUGUAAUUUCUUAAUUUUCAUAGAAAAUGACCUCGUUUUAAUUAUUGGUCUUCUGGACUUAGGCAUAG
This 2362-nucleotide long non-coding RNA is filed under the name Homo sapiens (human). RNAcentral describes it as "non-protein coding lnc-KRR1-4:10". Lineage: Eukaryota; Metazoa; Chordata; Mammalia; Primates; Hominidae. The record is from RNAcentral.